CCCAAUCUUGGGCUGAACAAAAUAUUGUUUGCAAAUCUGUCAACUGUCGAGUAUCCUUUCGGGCUUUUCGCAGUUGGCCUUUAAC
This 85-nucleotide transfer RNA is filed under the name Shewanella putrefaciens. Its description in RNAcentral is "tRNA-Tyr". Lineage: Bacteria; Pseudomonadati; Pseudomonadota; Gammaproteobacteria; Alteromonadales; Shewanellaceae. The record is from RNAcentral.